RNAcentral lists this ribosomal RNA (494 nucleotides) under uncultured bacterium. RNAcentral describes it as "partial 16S ribosomal RNA". It matches the Rfam family "Bacterial small subunit ribosomal RNA", at positions 28 to 507 of the family's 1533-position model. The record is from RNAcentral.
GACGAACGCUGGCGGCGCGCUUAACACAUGCAAGUCGAACGGAAAGGCCUGCUUUCCCUUGUGGAUUGCGGGUACUCGAGUGGCGAACGGGUGAGUAACACGUGAGUGAUCUGCCCCCAACUUGGGUAUAAGCCUGGGAAACUGGGUCUAAUUCCCGAUAGGACUGCAGGGUGGUGCCUGUGGUGGAAAACGAUUUUCUAGUGGUUGGGGAUGAGCUCGCGGCCUAUCAGCUUGUUGGUGGGGUAAUGGCCUACCAAGGCGGCGACGGGUAGCCGGCCUGAGAGGGUGGAUGGCCACAUUGGGACUGAGAUACGGCCCAGACGCCUACGGGAGGCAGCAGUGGGGAAUAUUGCACAAUGGGCGGAAGCCUGAUGCAGCGACGCCGCGUGGGGGAUGACGGCCUUCGGGUUGUAAACUCCUUUCGACCGCGAGGAAGCCACCUGGUUGGAAGGGUGGUGACGGUAGUGGUAGAAGAAGCACCGGCUAACUACGUG